This 500-nucleotide ribosomal RNA is filed under the name uncultured bacterium. Its description in RNAcentral is "partial 16S ribosomal RNA". It matches the Rfam family "Bacterial small subunit ribosomal RNA", at positions 30 to 523 of the family's 1533-position model. The record is from RNAcentral.
AUUGAACGCUGGCGGAAUGCUUUACACAUGCAAGUCGAACGGCAGCACGGACUCCGGUCUGGUGGCGUGUGGCGAACGGGUGAGUAAUGUAUCGGAACGUGCCCAGUCGUGGGGGAUAACGUAGUGAAAAUUACGCUAAUACCGCAUACGAUCUAUGGAUGAAAGCGGGGGAUCGCAAGACCUCGCGCGAUUGGAGCGGCCGAUAUCAGAUUAGGUAGUUGGUGGGGUAAAGGCCCACCAAGCCAACGAUCUGUAGCUGGUCUGAGAGGACGACCAGCCACACUGGAACUGAGACACGGUCCAGACUCCUACGGGAGGCAGCAGUGGGGAAUUUUGGACAAUGGGCGAAAGCCUGAUCCAGCCAUUCCGCGUGCAGGAUGAAGGCCCUCGGGUUGUAAACUGCUUUUGUACAGAACGAAAAGGUUUCUACUAAUACUAGGAGCUCAUGACGGUACUGUAAGAAUAAGCACCGGCUAACUACGUGCCAGCCGCCGCAGUAA